GCGGGUAUAGUACAAUGGCUAGUACGUCGGCCUUCCAAGCCGAACAUACGGGUUCGAUUCCCGUUACCCGCUCCA
Molecule: transfer RNA, 75 nt
Filed under: Candidatus Peregrinibacteria bacterium
Lineage: Bacteria; Candidatus Peregrinibacteriota
Description: tRNA-Gly
Rfam family: tRNA
About the family: Transfer RNA (tRNA) molecules are approximately 80 nucleotides in length. Their secondary structure includes four short double-helical elements and three loops (D, anti-codon, and T loops).
Source: RNAcentral